Molecule: ribosomal RNA, 478 nt
Filed under: uncultured bacterium
Lineage: Bacteria
Description: bacterial SSU rRNA
Rfam family: Bacterial small subunit ribosomal RNA
Source: RNAcentral
GGCGAAAGGGUGAGUAACACGUGAGCAACCUGCCCUCGAGUUCGGGAUAGCCCGCGGAAACGUGGAUUAAUACCGAAUGUGGUACCCUGUCUCAUGGCGGGGCUACUGAAGAUUUAUCGCUCGGGGAUGGACUCGCGGCCCAUAAGCUUGUUGGCGGGGUAACGGCCCACCAAGGCUAUGACGGGUAGGUGGUCUGAGAGGAUGGUCACCCACACUGGGACUGAGACACUGCCCAGACUCCUACGGGAGGCUGCAGUCGAGAAUCUUCCGCAAUGGGCGCAAGCCUGACGGAGCAAUGCCGCGUGAGGGAUGAAGGCCUUCGGGUUGUAAACCUCUGUCAGAGGGGACGAAGAAUGUGACGGUACCCUCAGAGGAAGCCACGGCUAACUACGUGCCAGCAGCCGCGGUAAUACGUAGGUGGCGAGCGUUAUUCGGAUUCACUGGGCGUAAAGGGUCCGUAGGGGGUCUGCCAAGUCCG